ACCAGCCAGGCUCCUGGCUAAAGUUCAGAUUUUAGCUGGAAUUUAGUCAGGAGAUUGACUAUAA
RNAcentral lists this microRNA precursor (64 nucleotides) under Microtus ochrogaster (prairie vole). Its description in RNAcentral is "miRNA (ENSMOCG00000008299.1)". The record is from RNAcentral. Lineage: Eukaryota; Metazoa; Chordata; Mammalia; Rodentia; Cricetidae.